GACGAACGCUGGCGGCGUGCUUAACACAUGCAAGUCGAACGGUGAAGGGGUCUGCUUUUGUGGGCCCUGGAUGAGUGGCGAACGGGUGAGUAACACGUGAGUAACCUGCCCCCUUCUUCUGGAUAACCGCAUGAAAGUGUGGCUAAUACGGGAUAUUCUGGGUCUGUCGCAUGAUGGGUCUGGGAAAGAUUGCGCCUUUGGGUGUUUUUGGUGGGGGAUGGGCUCGCGGCCUAUCAGCUUGUUGGUGGGGUGAUGGCCUACCAGGGCGGUGACGGGUAGCCGGCCUGAGAGGGUGGACGGUCACACUGGGACUGAGACACGGCCCAGACUCCUACGGGAGGCAGCAGUGGGGAAUAUUGCACAAUGGGCGCAAGCCUGAUGCAGCGACGCCGCGUGAGGGAUGGAGGCCUUCGGGUUGUAAACCUCUUUCGCCAGUGAAGCAGGCCUGCUCCUUGUGGGUGGGUUGACGGUAGCUGGAUAAGAAGCGCCGGCUAACUACGUG
RNAcentral lists this ribosomal RNA (502 nucleotides) under uncultured bacterium. RNAcentral's name for it is "partial 16S ribosomal RNA". It matches the Rfam family "Bacterial small subunit ribosomal RNA", at positions 28 to 507 of the family's 1533-position model. The record is from RNAcentral.